This is a non-coding RNA of Paramuricea clavata, 72 nucleotides long. The record is from the annotation of a GenBank genome assembly. Lineage: Eukaryota; Metazoa; Cnidaria; Anthozoa; Malacalcyonacea; Plexauridae.
GACCGCGUAGCUCAGUUGGAAGAGCAUUGGGCUAGUAUCCAAAGGUCGUAGGUUCGAAUCCCACCGUGGCCG